CAGCAGCCGCGGUAAUACGUAGGGUGCGAGCGUUAAUCGGAUUUACUGGGCGUAAAGCGUGCGCAGGCGGCCCGUUAAGACAGGUGUGAAAUCCCUGGGCUCAACCUAGGAAUUGCGCUUGUGACUGGCGGGCUCGAGUACGGUAGAGGGGGGUGGAAUUCCUGGUGUAGCAGUGAAAUGCGUAGAGAUCAGGAGGAACACCGAUGGCGAAGGCAGCCCCCUGGGCCUGUACUGACGCUCAUGCACGAAAGCGUGGGGAGCAAACAGGAUUAGAUACCCUGGUAGUCCACGCCCGAAACGAUGGGUACUAGCCGUUUGGUGCGCGAUAGCGCUGAGUGGCGAAGCUAACGCGUGAAGUACCCCGCCUGGGGAGUACGGCCGCAAGGUUGAAACUUAAAGGAAUUGGCGGG
Molecule: ribosomal RNA, 410 nt
Filed under: uncultured microorganism
Description: bacterial SSU rRNA
Rfam family: Bacterial small subunit ribosomal RNA
Source: RNAcentral